This 469-nucleotide ribosomal RNA is filed under the name uncultured bacterium. RNAcentral describes it as "SSU rRNA". It matches the Rfam family "Bacterial small subunit ribosomal RNA", at positions 26 to 518 of the family's 1533-position model. The record is from RNAcentral.
AGGACGAACGCUGGCGGCGUGCCUAACACAUGCAAGUCGAACGGGGGUAGCAAUACCCUAGUGGCGAACGGGUGCGUAACACGUGAAGAACUUGUCCAUCGGCGGGGGAUAGCCGGCCCAACGGCCGGGUAAUACCGCGUACGCUUGUCGAGUGGCAUCACUUGACAAGGAAAGCAGCAAUGCACCGAUGGAGAGCUUCGCGGCCUAUCAGCUUGUUGGCGGGGUAAUGGCCCACCAAGGCAACGACGGGUAGCUGGUCUGAGAGGAUGAUCAGCCACAUUGGGACUGAGACACGGCCCAGACUCCUACGGGAGGCAGCAGUGGGGAAUAUUGCGCAAUGGGCGAAAGCCUGACGCAGCGACGCCGCGUGUGGGAUGACGGCCUUCGGGUUGUAACCACUGUCGCGAGGGACGAAAAAAAUGACGGUACCUCGAAAGGAAGCACCGGCUAACUCUGUGCCAGCAGCCGC